GUAGGGUGCGAGCGUUAAUCGGAAUUACUGGGCGUAAAGCGUGCGCAGGCGGUUCGUUAAGUUCGUUGUGAAAGCCCCGGGCUCAACCUGGGAAUGGCAAUGGAAACUGGCGGGCUGGAGUGUGGCAGAGGGGGGUGGAAUUCCGCGUGUAGCAGUGAAAUGCGUAGAGAUGCGGAGGAACACCGAUGGCGAAGGCAGCCCCCUGGGCUGACACUGACGCUCAGGCACGAAAGCGUGGGGAGCAAACAGGAUUAGAUACCCUGGUAGUCCACGCCCUAAACGAUGCUCACUAGGUGUUGGGGAAGCGAUUCCUUGGUACCGUAGCUAACGCGUGAAGUGAGCCGCCUGGGGAGUACGGCCGCAAGGUUAAA
Molecule: ribosomal RNA, 371 nt
Filed under: uncultured bacterium
Lineage: Bacteria
Description: bacterial SSU rRNA
Rfam family: Bacterial small subunit ribosomal RNA
Source: RNAcentral